Ornithorhynchus anatinus (platypus) is the source of this 121-nucleotide non-coding RNA. RefSeq annotates it as microRNA mir-1348. The record is from RefSeq and is marked provisional. NCBI's taxonomy places the organism in Eukaryota, Metazoa, Chordata, Mammalia, Monotremata, Ornithorhynchidae. The transcript has a single exon.
GAACCCAGGUCUUUGUGAUGUCUCCUUGGAGGAUUAAGAAAGUCGAGUCAUUGCAGUCCAGCAGGUUCGACUGAUACGCUCCUCCUACAUGAAAAAGGUAGAGGAACAGGCCCUGGGUGCC